Molecule: transfer RNA, 66 nt
Filed under: Hypoatherina tsurugae (cobaltcap silverside)
Lineage: Eukaryota; Metazoa; Chordata; Actinopteri; Atheriniformes; Atherinidae
Description: tRNA-Cys
Source: RNAcentral
AGCCCCGAGGUGUUUUACAUAUUAGAUUGCAAAUCUCAAGUGGCAGGUUAAUUUUUGCCGGGGCUU